This 465-nucleotide ribosomal RNA is filed under the name uncultured bacterium. RNAcentral describes it as "partial 16S ribosomal RNA". It matches the Rfam family "Bacterial small subunit ribosomal RNA", at positions 28 to 507 of the family's 1533-position model. The record is from RNAcentral.
GACGAACGCUGGCGGCGUGCUUAACACAUGCAAGUCGAACGGAAAGGCCCUGCUUGCAGGGUACUCGAGUGGCGAACGGGUGAGUAACACGUGGGUGAUCUGCCCUGCACUUCGGGAUAAGCCUGGGAAACUGGGUCUAAUACCGGAUAGGAGCCAUUUUUAGUGUGAUGGUUGGAAAGUUUUUUCGGUGUAGGAUGAGCUCGCGGCCUAUCAGCUUGUUGGUGGGGUAAUGGCCUACCAAGGCGGCGACGGGUAGCCGGCCUGAGAGGGUGGACGGCCACAUUGGGACUGAGAUACGGCCCAGACUCCUACGGGAGGCAUCAGUGGGGAAUAUUGCACAAUGGGCGCAAGCCUGAUGCAGCGACGCCGCGGGGGGGAUGACGGCCUUCGGGUUGUAAACUCCUUUCGCUAGGGACGAAGCUUUUUGUGACGGUACCUAGAUAAGAAGCACCGGCUAACUACGUG